AGUAGAUGCUCUAAGAAAGAAUCCAGAAUAGCUUCAUCUUCAACUAAGAAGUUUUAUAAAAGUGACUGCCUCCCUUUUCCUGGGCUGAGAAGGAAAGCGCUUAGCCAGAUCAUCUCCAUCCAUUUACUUGAAAUCAGAGGCUCUUCUUUCUUCCUUCCAUACCUACAGCUUUAUGAGCCAGGCACACUCCGAUCAAUUUGGAGCAAUUCAUGUCAGCAGUCUGGAAUUGGACGGUAACUCUCUUGGGCUACUUCCCUGACAUCUGGAAUCCAUGAAGAGUUCCAGACAUUGCUGGAAGCAGAGAUGGAGAAGGUGUUACCCACACUGGUUCUGGUACCUGGGACCCAUUUACCCUGAGGAGAAAUUAUCCAGGUAGCAUGCUGGCUUAGCGCCGAGACCACCAAGCAAAGAUUCUACCACUCGGCUUGAGGAGUGAGCUCUUACACUAACUGUCCUCCGCACCAUACUGAUGAGAUGGGGCACAUCCAGUGGUCCUCAAAGAUGCAGAGAGGCUCAAAUGACUCAGACGGGAUCAUUACAAACUCAAGAAACAGCACUUGACCCAGGGCCACCUGACACCAGCGCUCUUACUGUUAAUCACUUUGUUUAUCCUCCUCCUCUAAGAACUGUCUUUCCA
RNAcentral lists this long non-coding RNA (637 nucleotides) under Suricata suricatta (meerkat). RNAcentral describes it as "lncRNA (ENSSSUG00005012705.1)". Lineage: Eukaryota; Metazoa; Chordata; Mammalia; Carnivora; Herpestidae. The record is from RNAcentral.